This 337-nucleotide long non-coding RNA is filed under the name Chlamydomonas reinhardtii. RNAcentral describes it as "long non-coding RNA (CREI_LNC001044)". Lineage: Eukaryota; Viridiplantae; Chlorophyta; Chlorophyceae; Chlamydomonadales; Chlamydomonadaceae. The record is from RNAcentral.
CCUUCCCGAUUAGGUUGUGGUGAUGGGCCUGGCUGAGGCCUACCGCGCCAACGGUGGCCCCCUGGGCGAGGGCCUGGACCCCCUGCACCCCGGUGGUGCCUUUGACCCCCUGGGCCUGGCUGACGACCCCGACACCUUCGCUGAGCUGAAGGUGAAGGAGAUCAAGAACGGCCGCCUGGCUAUGUUCUCCAUGUUCGGCUUCUUCGUCCAGGCCAUCGUGACCGGCAAGGGCCCCAUCCAGAACCUGGACGACCACCUGGCCAACCCCACCGCCGUGAACGCGUUCGCCUACGCCACCAAGUUCACCCCCUCGGCCUAAAUUUUUGGCCCUCGGCAG